AGGUGAACCUGGGGGAGGGUCAUUACACAAAUAUGAAGGCGGGCUGGAACCUCUCGGGGUUACAGCCUUGCUGAAUUAUUCACCCUUGUCUUUUGCGUACUUCUUGUUUCCUUGGUGGGUUCGCCCACCACUAGGACAAACAUAAACCUUUUGUAAUUGCAAUCAGCGUCAGUAACAAAUUAAUAAUUACAACUUUCAACAACGGAUCUCUUGGUUCUGGCAUCGAUGAAGAACGCAGCGAAAUGCGAUAAGUAGUGUGAAUUGCAGAAUUCAGUGAAUCAUCGAAUCUUUGAACGCACAUUGCGCCCUUUGGUAUUCCAAAGGGCAUGCCUGUUCGAGCGUCAUUUGUACCCUCAAGCUUUGCUUGGUGUUGGGCGUCUUGUCUCUAGCUUUGCUGGAGACUCGCCUUAAAGUAAUUGGCAGCCGGCCUACUGGUUUCGGAGCGCAGCACAAGUCGCACUCUCUAUCAGCAAAGGUCUAGCAUCCAUUAAGCCUUUUUUUCAACUUUUGACCUCGGAUCAGGUAGGGAUACCCGCUGAACUUAAGCAUAUCAAUAGCCGGGAGGAAAAAUUU
This 573-nucleotide ribosomal RNA is filed under the name fungal sp. P8N16. RNAcentral describes it as "eukaryotic LSU rRNA". The stretch from base 191 to 344 matches the Rfam family "5.8S ribosomal RNA". The record is from RNAcentral. Lineage: Eukaryota; Fungi.